UACGUAGGGUGCAAGCGUUGUCCGGAAUUACUGGGCGUAAAGCGCGUGUAGGCGGCCCUGCAAGUCGGAUGUGAAAUCCCACGGCUCAACCGUGGAAGUGCAUUCGAAACUGCAGGGCUAGAGUCCUGGAGAGGAAGGUGGAAUGCUUGGUGUAGAGGUGAAAUUCGUAGAUAUCAAGCGGAACACCGGUGGCGAAGGCGACAUCCUGGACCGGUAU
RNAcentral lists this ribosomal RNA (217 nucleotides) under uncultured bacterium. RNAcentral describes it as "partial 16S ribosomal RNA". It matches the Rfam family "Bacterial small subunit ribosomal RNA", at positions 524 to 740 of the family's 1533-position model. The record is from RNAcentral.